UCUUCCCCCGGCAGCAUUUUGGGAAAAGUAGGAAACUUUAAUUUUGGUUACUUAACUCAGUUGAGGCGAGAAGUAAAUUUUGUCAAAGACAAUGUCUGUGUUUAAGUAGCAUUGUGAAUUCAAGUUUCUGCUUUUGGAGGAAGGCUGGCCUACCCUUGAAAUCUUUAAAUUUUUUAAUUUUUUUAAACGGCUUAUAGUUCUCGCGUUUACUUGACUUUAUUGAACUUAUCGAGUCUUUGAAAGAUUUUGCAUUCCUGAAACUAUUUAAUAAGGUGUAAGAGAACGAAU
Molecule: long non-coding RNA, 288 nt
Organism: Zophobas morio
Lineage: Eukaryota; Metazoa; Arthropoda; Insecta; Coleoptera; Tenebrionidae
Exons: 4
Source: RefSeq, a predicted model, not a curated record